UGAGCUGGCCGGGCAAUCGCCGCUGUUACUGUUUAUUCAGUACAGGGGAGGAAAGUCCGGACUUCUUGGGCAGGGUGCCAGGUAACGCCUGGAAGGUGCAAACCUAUGGAAAGUGCCACAGAAAAUAUACCGCCCAGUUUCUAUAUGUUACUGGGUAAGGGUGAAAUGGUGCGGUAAGAGCGCACCGCGUUGGUGGCAACAUCAAUGGCAGGGUAAACCCCACCUGAAGCAAGACCAAAUAGGAAUCCAUUGGCGUGGCCCGCGCUGGAUUCGGGUAGGUCGCUCGAGGCAAACAGUGAUGUUUGUCCUAGAUGAAUGAUUGCCACUCUUAGAGUACAGGAUCCGGCUUACAGGCCAGCUCAUUUU
Molecule: RNase P RNA, 366 nt
Filed under: Gammaproteobacteria bacterium
Lineage: Bacteria; Pseudomonadati; Pseudomonadota; Gammaproteobacteria
Description: RNase P RNA component class A
Rfam family: Bacterial RNase P class A
About the family: Ribonuclease P (RNase P) is a ubiquitous endoribonuclease, found in archaea, bacteria and eukarya as well as chloroplasts and mitochondria. Its best characterised activity is the generation of mature 5'-ends of tRNAs by cleaving the 5'-leader elements of precursor-tRNAs. Cellular RNase Ps are ribonucleoproteins.
Source: RNAcentral